Molecule: RNA transcript, 1435 nt
Organism: Carassius gibelio (silver crucian carp)
Lineage: Eukaryota; Metazoa; Chordata; Actinopteri; Cypriniformes; Cyprinidae
Exons: 4
Source: RefSeq, a predicted model, not a curated record
AGUGUAGUUUUGUUACCUGGGCUGUGUGACUUGUUUUAUCCACAGGUCGAAUUUGUGAAACGUGAUGUUCCCGUCUUUGAGCUGGAUGUCGGAAGGAUCUCAGAUGCUCUUCACGGAAGUCUGGAUCCGUCCAUUUUAUCCAUGUUUCAGGAGAAGAGGCUGACGGAGAGCAUGGAGAGCGAGGUGUCGCUGCUGACCGCUCUGACCGAGAUGUUGGAGCGCGUGGACGUCGAGACACUGUCGCCAUUCGACACGCUGCCGGACGCACACAUAUUCUCGGCUCAGAAGAGUUCGGAUCACACGAAGCCCAAAGCGCUCAGUAUAGACCAGUACCGUCUCCUCAGACAGAAGAAGCCAGCUCUGGAGGAGAAACCAAUGGACUUUCGAACCAAAUGGCCUUCGCUUCACCAGCUUCCCAACCACACACAUCUCCAUCGCAGUCGCUGGGAAUCUCUCGUCUCUCUCGGAAAGAUACAAACACGGCUGUAGGUCUUUGCAUUGACCCUCCAAACCCGGUUUUAGUGCCCUUGAAACCCACACGACAGCCCAUAAUCUCAGCCUCAGAACCAGACGCUGGUGUUUCUUGUGAAGAGGUUCGAGUCUCUGAGGACGAACCCGAAGCUUCAGGAAGGAGACGGAAGCAGACGACGUGUGGAGCAAUCGGGAUUGAAGCGGCUGAUCUGACCCGUCUUCUGGAGCAGUUCGGGACUCAUGGUAAAUGAUCAAUACAGAUUCCAAUCGAGAUGUGGCUCCAGCAUCCAGGAGCCGAUGCGAGUCGUUCGACUUCGACACGCUGCUGAAACAAGCUCAGAGAGGACGGAAGAUGAGAUCUUCAUGAAUCAGACGCUGAUUUCACCACUGACCAAUUUAGCUGGUUCACAUUCUGGGUUAAGUCCAAGUGAAGCUCUAUCUGGGAAUAAUGGUGAUAUAAAUCCACGUAACAUUAGACAAUCACAUGCUGCACAGAAGAGCUGCGCUUGAACUUGAUCUGGAAAAGCUGUUUUGUUGUUGUUUAUUUUUCUGACUUCACUAAACUGGCUUUGCUUUCAGCUCUCUAUUACUUGACACUUAAAACCCUACUUUUUCCUCAUUAAAUGUUGUACAUAAGAAUGAAAUGGCAUGAAAGGAUGAAAUCAUCAUUAUGAAAGCAAAUAUAACAUGCAUAUAUAUUUAUAUAUGAAAACACAUUCCCUUUGUUUAUAACUGAAUAAAAAGGUUUAUGUGCUAAUGAAUGGUUUAUGUUCUGUUACACUGAACUCAAAACACUGUAAAUUUAAUCAUGUAUUAUAUAUGUCAAAAUAAAAGAUGUUAGAACAAACGUAAUAAUUAAAACAUUUGACAGAAUGGGUUGUAAUUCUAAUAUGUGUAGUGUUUGUGGUUAGUGGGUGGUGUUAAUAUUAAUGUUUGGAUUGUCUAGUUCCACAAUAAUCACCAA